UACGUAGGGUGCAAGCGUUGUCCGGAAUUAUUGGGCGUAAAGAGCUCGUAGGCGGUUUGUUGCGUCGGCUGUGAAAUCCCGAGGCUCAACCUCGGGUCUGCAGUCGAUACGAGCAAACUAGAGUGUUGCAGGGGAGACUGGAAUUCCUGGUGUAGCGGUGAAAUGCGUAGAUAUCGUUUGGAACGCCAAUGGUGAAAACAGCUCGCUGGGGAUGUGCCGACGCUGAGAUACGAAAGCCAGGGGAGCGAACGGG
RNAcentral lists this ribosomal RNA (253 nucleotides) under uncultured bacterium. Its description in RNAcentral is "partial 16S ribosomal RNA". It matches the Rfam family "Bacterial small subunit ribosomal RNA", at positions 524 to 776 of the family's 1533-position model. The record is from RNAcentral.